CGAAGAACCUUACCUGGGUUUGACAUGUUGGUAGUAGUGAAGCGAAAGCGGAACGACCCGCAAGGGAGCCAUCACAGGUGCUGCAUGGCUGUCGUCAGCUCGUGUCGUGAGAUGUUGGGUUAAGUCCCGCAACGAGCGCAACCCUUGUCGCUAGUUACACGUGUCUAGCGAGACUGCCGGUAUCAAGCCGGAGGAAGGUGGGGAUGACGUCAAGUCAGCAUGGCCUUUAUAUCCAGGGCUACUCACACGCUACAAUGGGCAGUACAGUGGGAAGCGAAAGGGCGACCUGGAGCGAAUCCUAAAAAGCUGCUCGUAGUUCAGAUUGCAGGCUGCAACCCGCCUGCAUGAAGCUGGAGUUGCUAGUAAACGCAGGUCAGCUAUACUGCGUUGAAUA
Molecule: ribosomal RNA, 394 nt
Filed under: uncultured bacterium
Lineage: Bacteria
Description: bacterial SSU rRNA
Rfam family: Bacterial small subunit ribosomal RNA
Source: RNAcentral